CCUACGGGGUGCAGCAGUGAGGAAUAUUGGUCAAUGGACGAGAGUCUGAACCAGCCAAGUAGCGUGAAGGAUGACUGCCCUAUGGGUUGUAAACUUCUUUUAUAUGGGAAUAAAACGUUCCACGUGUGGGAUUUUGUAUGUACCAUAUGAAUAAGGAUCGGCUAACUCCGUGCCAGCAGCCGCGGUAAUACGGAGGAUCCGAGCGUUAUCCGGAUUUAUUGGGUUUAAAGGGGGCGUAGGUGGAUUGUUAAGUCAGUUGUGAAAGUUUGCGGCUCAACCGUAAAAUUGCAGUUGAAACUGGCAGUCUUGAGUACAGUAGAGGUGGGCGGAAUUCGUGGUGUAGCGGUGAAAUGCUUAGAUAUCACGAAGAACUCCGAUUGCGAAGGCAGUUCACUGGACUGCAACUGACACUGAGGCUCGAAAGUGUGGGUAUCAAACAGGAUUAGAUACCCGAGUAGUC
RNAcentral lists this ribosomal RNA (460 nucleotides) under uncultured bacterium. RNAcentral describes it as "partial 16S ribosomal RNA". It matches the Rfam family "Bacterial small subunit ribosomal RNA", at positions 338 to 795 of the family's 1533-position model. The record is from RNAcentral.